This 1766-nucleotide ribosomal RNA is filed under the name Enterococcus faecium. RNAcentral's name for it is "partial 23S ribosomal RNA". It matches the Rfam family "Bacterial large subunit ribosomal RNA", at positions 332 to 2107 of the family's 2925-position model. Lineage: Bacteria; Bacillati; Bacillota; Bacilli; Lactobacillales; Enterococcaceae. The record is from RNAcentral.
GUCGAAUGACUUGGAAAAGUCAGUCAAAGAGGGUAAAAACCCCGUAGACGAAAUGUGGAAGACACCUAGGAGGAUCCUGAGUACGGCGGAACACGAGAAAUUCCGUCGGAAUCCGGGAGGACCAUCUCCCAAGGCUAAAUACUCCCUAGUGACCGAUAGUGAACCAGUACCGUGAGGGAAAGGUGAAAAGCACCCCGGAAGGGGAGUGAAAUAGAACCUGAAACCGUGUGCCUACAACAAGUCAAAGCCCGUUAAUGGGUGAUGGCGUGCCUUUUGUAGAAUGAACCGGCGAGUUACGAUUGCAUGCGAGGUUAAGUUGAAGAGACGGAGCCGCAGCGAAAGCGAGUCUGAAUAGGGCGUUUGAGUAUGUAGUCGUAGACCCGAAACCAUGUGAUCUACCCAUGUCCAGGUUGAAGGUGCGGUAAAACGCACUGGAGGACCGAACCCACGUACGUUGAAAAGUGCGGGGAUGAGGUGUGGGUAGCGGAGAAAUUCCAAACGAACUUGGAGAUAGCUGGUUCUCUCCGAAAUAGCUUUAGGGCUAGCCUCGGAAUUGAGAAUGAUGGAGGUAGAGCACUGUUUGGACUAGGGGCCCAUCUCGGGUUACCGAAUUCAGAUAAACUCCGAAUGCCAUUCAUUCAUAUCCGGGAGUCAGACUGUGAGUGAUAAGAUCCAUAGUCGAAAGGGAAACAGCCCAGACCACCAGCUAAGGUCCCAAAAUAUAUGUUAAGUGGAAAAGGAUGUGGGGUUGCACAGACAACUAGGAUGUUGGCUUAGAAGCAGCCACCAUUUAAAGAGUGCGUAAUAGCUCACUAGUCGAGUGACCCUGCGCCGAAAAUGUACCGGGGCUAAACAUAUUACCGAAGCUGUGGAGUACACCUUUAGGUGUAUUGGUAGGAGAGCGUUCUAAGGGCGUCGAAGGCAGAUCGUGAGGACUGCUGGAGCGCUUAGAAGUGAGAAUGCCGGUAUGAGUAGCGAAAGACAGGUGAGAAUCCUGUCCACCGAAUGACUAAGGUUUCCUGGGGAAGGCUCGUCCGCCCAGGGUUAGUCGGGACCUAAGCCGAGGCCGAUAGGCGUAGGCGAUGGAUAACAGGUUGAUAUUCCUGUACCCGUUGUUUUUGUUUGAGCAAUGGAGGGACGCAGGAGGCUAAGGAAUGCAGACGAUCGGAAAUGUCUGUCCAAGCAGUAAGUCUGAAGAGGAGUCAAAUGCUUCUUUUCUUAAGGACAAGCUGUGAUGGGGAGGGAAAUAAUAGUACCGAAGUUCCUGAUGUCACACUGCCGAGAAAAGCUUCUAGUGAGAAAACAGCGGCCCGUACCGCAAACCGACACAGGUAGUCGAGGAGAGAAUCCUAAGGUGAGCGAGAGAACUCUCGUUAAGGAACUCGGCAAAAUGACCCCGUAACUUCGGGAGAAGGGGUGCUGAUCAUACGAUCAGCCGCAGUGAAUAGGCCCAAGCGACUGUUUAUCAAAAACACAGGUCUCUGCAAAAUCGUAAGAUGAAGUAUAGGGGCUGACGCCUGCCCGGUGCUGGAAGGUUAAGAGGAGUGCUUAGCGCAAGCGAAGGUACGAAUUGAAGCCCCAGUAAACGGCGGCCGUAACUAUAACGGUCCUAAGGUAGCGAAAUUCCUUGUCGGGUAAGUUCCGACCCGCACGAAAGGCGUAACGAUUUGGGCACUGUCUCAACGAGAGACUCGGUGAAAUUUUAGUACCUGUGAAGAUGCAGGUUACCCGCGACAGGACGGAAAGACCCCAUGGAGCUUUACUGU